Schistosoma haematobium is the source of this 45-nucleotide non-coding RNA. The record is from Rfam. Lineage: Eukaryota; Metazoa; Platyhelminthes; Trematoda; Strigeidida; Schistosomatidae.
ACCCAGCUGACGAGUCGCAAAUAGGAUGAAACGGUCGUCUUGGUU